This 817-nucleotide long non-coding RNA is filed under the name Bos grunniens (domestic yak). RNAcentral's name for it is "lncRNA (ENSBGRG00000002547.1)". Lineage: Eukaryota; Metazoa; Chordata; Mammalia; Artiodactyla; Bovidae. The record is from RNAcentral.
AUGGCCAACGUGUGCCCAGCACCUGUGCCAGUGUGCACUCAGCUCGAGUACCAGUUAAUCCUUCCUUUGUCUGUAUGGAGUUCUUUGGCUUCCAACAGGGAAGGCACAAUCAGGACACUGGGACUAUUUAUCAAGGUUUCAGAGCAGGCUCAGCUGUCUUCACUUCACAUUUAUUAUAUAACUCCCACAGAAGAAAGCAGAUCAUGUCUCCAAAUAGAGAUGGAAAAUCUGAUGCUCUGUGGGUGGCCUCCACAAAUCGUGUGAUCCAGAGAAAGGUAAGGUGGACACUACAGUGUUUUCUAUGGGAUGACCUCCACAAGGGGUGAAUACCAAGGGUCCUCAAUUGGAGCCACCUUGGAGGCUGGCUACUACAGUACUUUACCUUUUCAUUUAAUUGAGAUUUUAAUUGAUAUAAUUAGAGAUUUAUGUGCAAGUAUGAAAGACUAUCCAGUGCAUACUUUGCCAAGUUUUCCCCAAUUUUGCAUUUUCAAAACUCUAGUAUAAUAUUUCAACAUUGACAUUGAUAUAAUACACCAUUUUUAUUCAGCUUUCUCAGGUUUUCUCCUUCUCAUUAGUGUAUGUAUAUGCAUUUCUGUGUAUUAAGUUCUAUAUAAUUAAAUCACUUGUUGGUUCAUGUAUCUAAUACCUCAGUCAAGAUACUAAAGAAUUCCAGCACCACAAGAAUUCCUCCUCUUUUUCCUCCUCUUGGUUUUUUACAACCAUACCAUCCUCCUUCUUGUACUAACUCCUCUCGUCAAUCCUGACUCCUGGUAAACACUAAUCUGUGUUCAUUUCACAGGCAAAUGAUUAAACAAAC